GACGAACGCUGGCGGCGUGCUUAACACAUGCAAGUCGAACGGAAAGGCGCUGCUUUUGUGGGGUGCUCGAGUGGCGAACGGGUGAGUAACACGUGAGUAACCUGUCCUUGACUUACGGGUAAAUUCAGGAAACUGGGGCUCAUACCGGAUAGGAGCUCCUGCUGCAUGGUGGGGGUUGGUAAGUGUCGGCUGUUGGGGCUGGAUUCGCAGCUUAUGCGCUUGUUGGUCGGGUAGUGACUUACCAAGGCUUUGAGUGAUAGCCGGCCUGGGAGCGCGACCGGCGACAUUGGGACUGAGGUACGGCCCAGACUCCUACGGGAGGCAGCAGUGGGGAAUAUUGCGCAACGAGGGGAAGCCUGAUGCAACGACGCCGCGUGCGGGAUGACGGCCUUCGAGGUGAAAACCGCUUUCGCCUGUGACGAAGCGAUAGUGACGGUAAUUGGUAAAGAAGCACCGGCUAACUACGUG
RNAcentral lists this ribosomal RNA (468 nucleotides) under uncultured bacterium. RNAcentral's name for it is "partial 16S ribosomal RNA". It matches the Rfam family "Bacterial small subunit ribosomal RNA", at positions 28 to 507 of the family's 1533-position model. The record is from RNAcentral.